This is a long non-coding RNA of Haliaeetus leucocephalus (bald eagle), 3943 nucleotides long. RefSeq lists it as uncharacterized. NCBI's taxonomy places the organism in Eukaryota, Metazoa, Chordata, Aves, Accipitriformes, Accipitridae. The record is from RefSeq and is a predicted model, not a curated record. The transcript has 3 exons.
GUGAUAAGGGGCUUGGUGAGGAGGGAGGGUGGGCAUUCAGGGUGUCUGAUUCCACCAGUGCCCUGUGUGGAGGGGCAGGUAGUUCCCUGUUUCAGGGUGUAGGAUGAGUGACUGCUGGAGGUGGCACCCAUGGGGACCCACUUUUCCACUCCUGCUCCACCUGCGCUCACAGCUCAGCAUCCAGUCUUGUCCCCUGUGCAGAAGUAGGGCAUGUGGCACAGCAGAAGGUGCCCUACCAGCAGCGUGCUAGAGGCUCCUGAUCUAGCAGGGACUGAAGGCAGUGAGCAGGAUGGACGUUGUCUAUCCCAGACCCCUCUGGAUUUCAUAUCCCUUAAUUUUCUCUGCCUGGCAACAGGACUGUGGUGACCUGUAGCUGUCCUGCCUGCUAUGUCCUGCCUUUGUGGGCAGGAAGGUAUCAGAGCCUUUUCAGAGGGACAAGAAGCUGCCAGAUGACCAGCCCCUAAGUGAGCACAGGUAUACCCCUACUGAAGGGAUGGAGAACAUCAGCCUCCCAGAUUGCCUGAAGGCCCUUAAAACACUCCAAAUCACCUGCUGUUGGUGCUAACCCAAAGGCUAUGAAUGGCUUGUAGGGACCAUGUUCCUGCUGCAGUGGCUGCCCAUGGAUGGAACUGGGUGGGAAACUCCAGUAGUGUCUCUAAGUGCCAGGAUACCCGAGUCACAAAGUCAGUGUUUCUUGAUUAUUUUUGUUUGUUUCCUGAUUUUCUGUACAUUUUCAGUCUCCUGCACAGAUGACAAGCCUUUUUCCCUCACACUUCCAUUUGUCUCCCUAUUUUUAGCCCAUCUGUAGCAUUCUUCACGUGAUGCCUGUGUGCACCGCUUUGAUCAGAGCUGCCGAUGAUGACGACACGACCUUGAAGCGUAACAGCCAGCAGCCAGCUCGCUGCCGCUUCCACCCUGACUGCGUCGGAGUGACUGGAGUAUCAAAGCCGACGAGGGGACACCAGCAUCCCUGGCCACCACUGUGCAUCCUGGCACCACCACCCAGGCCAGUCUUGUCCUGAUUUCUUCCCAAGACAGUGUGAAGAAGGCUGUAGCUGUUCUGCCUGUCAGCUCCGUCCCAGCGGCUUUUUGUGGCUGGAGUCACAAUUUGCACUGCUGCCCACUUUUGCUGGACUCUCGGUAUGGAGAGCGACUGUUACAGGCAGAGGGAGGCUGGGGAGGGAGGCCUGCGAUUGCUCCUCGGUGGGGAUCGGGAUGUGAGAGGUGAGGAUGCAGCACCUCUGCCUGCAGGUAAGGAAUCGCACACAGAGCCAGGUUGGUAGCUGAUGCGCCACACAGCAAUUCGCUGCCAUGAUUUGUGUGCCCUGAAGACAGUCGCAUGCAAGAAAAAAAAGAAAAACAAACAGGAAAAAUGAAUAGCUUUAAAGAAAAGAAAGUGUCAUUUCUGUAGGUAAUUAAUUACUAAUUAUACAGUCGCAGCAUUGUCUGUAUCAUUAAAAUUACUUGGGUUUUCAGUACAUUAUAGUUUUAAUUAAACAAAUCCUUGGAUUUUUUUCUCCUCCUUUGUAACACAAAUUCAUUUUUUUUAUUAGUGCCAAAGAAUAAAUUAAUUGUAUAAUUAGUGACUGUUACUUUGUCACUCCUGGAAGGGUUAUUUCCAGGUUGUAUGUAUGCAGUGGCUGGGGAAUGGUUAUGAAAUGCUGUCUGAUACCAAGACUCCCUGGAAGCAGCUAUCUGUGGCUGGGGAUGCUGGUGGAGGUGGGGAUUUGGCAGCACUGGGACACAGCCGGCAAGAAGGGGGUGAAAAACUCUGCCAGGGCUGGCUGGAGGAGGCUGUGAAACACUGGCGGGUGUUUCUUGCAUGCCUGUGAGUAAAUGAGUUUCAUUUUGAUGCAGAAAUGCCCUCUGGAAGGCAUCCUCAGGUCCUCCAGAAAGGAAGCUGUAGUGAAGCUGUGCCUGCUUCCAUGUGCUCCCCCUGGUACAGGUGAGGGAGAAACCCCAGGGUGGGGUUUUCAAGCAUGCACCAUCACAGUCAUCAUUACAGGGGGCUGAGGGCUGGCAGGGAUGGCCUGUCUCCCCCCUGCCCCACAAUGUGUAGGGUACACAGCAGAUUCAAGGCAGGAAGAGGGGAAUUUAGUAUGCAGCUAGUGAUAGGGUCUUAAUAGACCUGCACUUAUUAUUUGGAAAAGAAAGAAUCAGGAUUACAGGCUUAUGAGGGAUUAGCAAGCAUGAAUGCGUAUUUCUGCAUAUACUGCUCCUUUUAUAAACCCAUUGUGCCAUUAGGCUGAUACAGAGUUAUACCAUUACUAGCAUGACAUCAGUGUUAUCAGAUAGUCUUGAUUGUAAGAUCCAGCAGCUGUUCUAAGAAAAACAGUGCUUUCCCGCUGGCCUGCUGAUCCUCUCCUGUUUGUAGCUUGUGGUUUGGCUGUGAAACCACUUUGAUUUUCAGGCAGCAUCAACAUCACCAGUAGGACAGACAACCUGUGAGCAUUGGCCCACUUCCUGGAGGAUUGUGAUCACCUGUUGAAGUGACCAAAUUGAGGCUUUAAAUGUUUCAGCUGCCCUCUCCUGGGGGUUUUAAAGCAGAAGGAGAAGGAUGCAUGAGGAUCCUCAGGUGUCUGUGCACUCAGUUUUAGUGGUGCAGAGAGAUCUUGGAUUGCUCAGAAGAGCUCAGGUCACUUGUGGAUGUAUGUGCAGGGGUCUUUCAGUGUGGCUGAAACUCUGCAUUUCUGGUCUUAGCUAAAGUACAACAAGAUUCUCAUAAAGGUGGUAUGUCUGUUGGCUUCAAGUACUGCAUGCCCUCAAGGGCAGUAGCUGUGAGGUCUCAGCUCUUGGAGCCCUGGAGGUGUGCGAGCUACCUGGAUGUGUUAAGAAAUCCGUGCAAACAUAGGCGGCUUCAAGAGCCUGCCUGUGUUUCAUAGUCUGCAAGUCUUGACCCCAUGUGGCUGGCCACAUGGCCAACAUGGGUAACCUAAGCAAAUCAAAGCCCUUGGCUGUAGGCUUCACUAGAGAUGGUCUUUUUAAGUAGAGAUGUGCUGAGCAGGAAACUGGGAUGGAGAAGCAGGGAAUUGAGUGGUUAUGAAACGUUAGAGCCUCUAUGUGUGUGACUGCAAAUUUUGAUUUUUCACUAAAUAUUUUCCCCUUUAAUUUAAACCACUGUUUUUUUUCCAGGGAAUUGUAAUAAAAAGAGCCCAUGUGUUUCUAACUAAAUGGCAGCCUGUGCUUAGUAAAAAUCAAGGGUCAAGUUUGGAUGGAAUCCCUGUGUUGAUGUUUCUGUAAAUCAAAUAACAAUCAAGCUAAGGCAACUUGUUCCUGGAGCUGCUCAGAGCUGUUUGCUGCCAGAGCCAAAGGGAUUGAGAGCCCCUGGAGCAUCCAGGUCUGCAGGUAGCUCUGCAUGACACCAGGAGAUCCCUGUGCUGCUCAGACCUGCUUCAUUUCCUUGCUCUCUGUCAGUCAACCAUCACUGUACAGGACAGUGUCCCAGGAAUGAUCCGAGCCCUGGGGGCAGCCAGCUCCAUCUAUGGGCUCCCCUUAGCACUGUUGUUCUCACACCUCCUGCCUCUCCAUUUUCCUCUGGGGGUAAUUUCAGCAAGGAAAUUUGGCUUUUCCUGCCUCUGUAGUCCACAAAGUCUAGAUGCAUCCACCUAGGCACAUCCCACCUCCACGUUGGGAUGGAAAGCAUCCCUCUAUGGCAGGCAGAGUGGGCAACAUGCUGCUGCCAGGUGUACUGGUCCCUUGGGCAGCCACUUCCAUUUUGCCUCUUCUUGCUGCAGGUUCCCUCCCCUCCUAUUCACUGAUCUCCUGCAACACCACUUGCAUUGCUGACACUGGGCACUUUGGAAUUAGACUGGGACCAUUUCCCUAUUUAUCCUGUCAAGGUCCUGGUGCUUUUAGUGCUUAGAUCACUUUUGAGUGUGAGAUUCCAAAAUCGCUUGGCAUAUUUGAAAAAUGGUGUCUAUUUUUUUCUCUCCAUUGGAGUGUG